UGUUUCUGCUGUUAUAUGAUAGAGAGGAGACGGUCUCUGUGGCUAAGAACUACACGUACGAUGACGGCUGUGAGCCCUGCGGUACAGAUACCUUCAUCAGAGAGCCCUUCAUUGUCAUGUUCUCCUCGAACUACACAGCUGUGGGGAACUUUGUUUUGAUUCCUCAACACACGUCUCCAGACUCGGCAGUGAAGGAGGUUGAUGCUCUGUACGAUGUGGCCGCUGACGUCAGAGCUCGCUGGAACACCAAUGCCAAAGAGGGAGAGGUUGGUCUUUGACUGCAGGAAAGGGCUACCCUGUCUCCUCUCCAUCAUCUUCAUCAUCUGAUCUCCACCUCUUCAUCGACACUGAUUGAAGUAGAUUUAACUAAGUGACAUCAAUAAGGGAUCAUAUCUUUAACCCGGAUCCACCUGGUCAGUCUGUCAUGGAAAUGUAUCGUACAAUCACUGCUACUGCUCCUGUUGAUCAUAUAUCCUGAUGUCACCUCACCCCUCUACAUACAGUAUCUAACUCUAUCACUCCAGUAUCCUAUCUGCUCCUGUUGAUCAUAUAUCCUGAUGUCACCUCACCCCUCUACAUACAGUAUCUAACUCUAUCACUCCA
Oncorhynchus nerka (sockeye salmon) is the source of this 603-nucleotide long non-coding RNA. RefSeq lists it as uncharacterized. The record is from RefSeq and is a predicted model, not a curated record. NCBI's taxonomy places the organism in Eukaryota, Metazoa, Chordata, Actinopteri, Salmoniformes, Salmonidae. The transcript is spliced from 3 exons.